GGGCCCUUAGCUUAGCCAGGUUGAGCACCCGGCUCUUAACCGGGGGGUCGUGGGUUCAAAUCCCACAGGGCCCG
RNAcentral lists this transfer RNA (74 nucleotides) under Thermoproteota archaeon. Its description in RNAcentral is "Crenarchaeota archaeon (sediment metagenome) tRNA-Lys". It matches the Rfam family "tRNA". From Rfam's summary of the family: Transfer RNA (tRNA) molecules are approximately 80 nucleotides in length. Their secondary structure includes four short double-helical elements and three loops (D, anti-codon, and T loops). Further hydrogen bonds mediate the characteristic L-shaped molecular structure. tRNAs have two regions of fundamental functional importance: the anti-codon, which is responsible for specific mRNA codon recognition, and the 3' end, to which the tRNAs corresponding amino acid is attached (by aminoacyl-tRNA synthetases). tRNAs cope with the degeneracy of the genetic code in two manners: having more than one tRNA (with a specific anti-codon) for a particular amino acid; and 'wobble' base-pairing, i.e. permitting non-standard base-pairing at the 3rd anti-codon position. Lineage: Archaea; Thermoproteati; Thermoproteota. The record is from RNAcentral.